This 768-nucleotide ribosomal RNA is filed under the name uncultured Micromonosporaceae bacterium. RNAcentral's name for it is "bacterial SSU rRNA". It matches the Rfam family "Bacterial small subunit ribosomal RNA", at positions 8 to 796 of the family's 1533-position model. Lineage: Bacteria; Bacillati; Actinomycetota; Actinomycetes; Micromonosporales; Micromonosporaceae. The record is from RNAcentral.
AGAGUUUGAUCAUGGCUCAGGACGAACGCUGGCGGCGUGCUUAACACAUGCAAGUCACGGGGGCUGGGCAACCAGCAACCGGCGAACGGGUGCGUAACACGUGAGCGACCUGCCCGCCUGUGGGGGAUAGCCGGCCCAACGGCCGGGUAAUACCGCAUACGCUUCCGGGCCCGCAUGGGUCCUUAAGGAAAGCAGCGAUGCGCAGGCGGAGGGGCUCGCGGCCUAUCAGCUCGUUGGCGGUGUAAUAGACCACCAAGGCGACGACGGGUAGCUGGUCUGAGAGGAUGGCCAGCCACAUUGGGACUGAGACACGGCCCAGACUCCUACGGGAGGCAGCAGUGGGGAAUAUUGCACAAUGGGCGGAAGCCUGAUGCAGCGACGCCGCGUGAGGGAUGACGGCCUUCGGGUUGUAAACCUCUUUCGACCCUGACGAAGCGUGAGUGACGGUAGGGGGAGAAGAAGCACCGGCCAACUACGUGCCAGCAGCCGCGGUAAGACGUAGGGUGCGAGCGUUGUCCGGAUUUAUUGGGCGUAAAGAGCUCGUAGGCGGCUCGUCGCGUCGACCGUGAAAACUUGGGGCUUAACUCUAAGCUUGCGGUUGAUACGGGCGGGCUAGAGUUCGGUAGGGGAGACUGGAAUUCCUGGUGUAGCGGUGAAAUGCGCAGAUAUCAGGAGGAACACCGGUGGCGAAGGCGGGUCUCUGGGCCGAUACUGACGCUGAGGAGCGAAAGCGUGGGGAGCGAACAGGAUUAGAUACCCCCGUAGUCC